RNAcentral lists this transfer RNA (72 nucleotides) under Camelus ferus (Wild Bactrian camel). It matches the Rfam family "tRNA". Rfam says of the family: Transfer RNA (tRNA) molecules are approximately 80 nucleotides in length. Their secondary structure includes four short double-helical elements and three loops (D, anti-codon, and T loops). Further hydrogen bonds mediate the characteristic L-shaped molecular structure. tRNAs have two regions of fundamental functional importance: the anti-codon, which is responsible for specific mRNA codon recognition, and the 3' end, to which the tRNAs corresponding amino acid is attached (by aminoacyl-tRNA synthetases). tRNAs cope with the degeneracy of the genetic code in two manners: having more than one tRNA (with a specific anti-codon) for a particular amino acid; and 'wobble' base-pairing, i.e. permitting non-standard base-pairing at the 3rd anti-codon position. Lineage: Eukaryota; Metazoa; Chordata; Mammalia; Artiodactyla; Camelidae. The record is from Rfam by way of RNAcentral.
GAGGGUACAGCUCAGUGGUAGAGCACAUGCCUAGCAUGCAGGAGGUCCUGGGUUCAAUCCCCAGUACCUCCA